CGUUCGGAAUCGCAUUCGUGUGCUGGAGUCAGAGCGCGCUGCGGGGCAUCACUGCACCGCCACGGAGGACACACCACCACCAUCACACAACCAGGAACAGGGAAAAGGGGGAAAAGGCGUGAAAUAGCGCAGAGAGGAGACAGAAGAAACAGGGCGGCCCUUUUUUUUCCCAAAUCACCUGCUACAUCUCUGGGAAAUUAAACAGGAGCCAGACAUUUGCUAAUCAUAAAAACGCGAACGCAGCGGACAUCUCAAGUGGUAUUUUUGGCCAGCACGGCGGGGAAAAAUGAAGGAUCGCACGCAGGAACUACGAAGUGCUAAGGACAGUGACGAUGACGAGGAAGUCGUUCAUGUCGACCGAGACCACUUUAUGGAUGAAUUUUUCGAACAGGUGGAGGAGAUCCGUGGCUGUAUUGAAAAGCUGUCAGAGGAUGUGGAACAGGUGAAGAAGCAGCACAGUGCCAUCCUAGCAGCACCAAACCCUG
Molecule: long non-coding RNA, 485 nt
Organism: Danio aesculapii
Lineage: Eukaryota; Metazoa; Chordata; Actinopteri; Cypriniformes; Danionidae
Exons: 3
Source: RefSeq, a predicted model, not a curated record